Molecule: transfer RNA, 91 nt
Filed under: Coniochaeta sp. 2T2.1
Lineage: Eukaryota; Fungi; Ascomycota; Sordariomycetes; Coniochaetales; Coniochaetaceae
Rfam family: tRNA
About the family: Transfer RNA (tRNA) molecules are approximately 80 nucleotides in length. Their secondary structure includes four short double-helical elements and three loops (D, anti-codon, and T loops).
Source: Rfam by way of RNAcentral
GGGGGUGUAGUCUAGUGGUUAUGAUUUCUGCUUUGCAAGCUCACUCGAGUAGAAUUGCAGAGGGUCCCGUGUUCAAAUCAUGGCGCCUCCA